GGCUUCGGCAACCUGGACCGCCGACGCCAAUUAAUCGACUACAUCCGGCAGGAAGAUAUCGACAUAGUAGGUCUGCAGGAAAUGAUUCGUCAGGACUUCUCCAUUCAUGAGUUACAGGGGCUCUCUAGACACCCGUUUUCCUGGCAAUGGCUGCUGGCGUCUGGGUUGUAUGGAGGCAUCCUUCUAGGGGUCAGGGAAGAGUUCUUCUCGGUAGAGGAUAUGGACCGCGGAGAAUUCUUCCUUAGUAUGUCCAUCACCGACCGACGUGUGAACCUUAGUUGGGAGGUGACCAUUAUCUAUGGCCCGGCUGACCAUAGGCGGUCAGCGGAGUUCUUGGCCGAGCUGAAAGAUAAGGUAGAACGCUGCACUACGCCGGUUGUAGUGGCUGGGGACUUCAACCUUAUUCGGCAGGAGGCUGACAAGACCUCCCCUAACAUCAAUCGGAUGCGAAUGCGCAUGUUCAAUGACUGCAUAGAAAUUUUUUCCCUACGUGAGAUAGCUCGUGUAGGGGCUAGGUUCACAUGGAUCAAUAAACAGGUGGACACUGGUACAACGACGUGCUAA
This 564-nucleotide ribosomal RNA is filed under the name Triticum aestivum (bread wheat). Its description in RNAcentral is "partial small subunit ribosomal RNA". Lineage: Eukaryota; Viridiplantae; Streptophyta; Magnoliopsida; Poales; Poaceae. The record is from RNAcentral.